Molecule: ribosomal RNA, 253 nt
Filed under: uncultured bacterium
Lineage: Bacteria
Description: partial 16S ribosomal RNA
Rfam family: Bacterial small subunit ribosomal RNA
Source: RNAcentral
UACGUAGGGUGCAAGCGUUGUCCGGAAUUAUUGGGCGUAAAGAGCUCGUAGGCGGUUUGUCGCGUCGAAUGUGAAAACCCGGGGCUCAACCCCGGGCCUGCAUUCGAUACGGGCAGACUAGAGUUCGGUAGGGGAGUCUGGAAUUCCUGGUGUAGCGGUGGAAUGCGUAGAGAUCCGGAAGAACACCGGUGGCGAAGGCGGUCUGCUGGGCAGUAGCUGACACUGAGGCGCGACAGCGUGGGGAGCAAACAGG